Molecule: transfer RNA, 66 nt
Filed under: Melanesthes exilidentata
Lineage: Eukaryota; Metazoa; Arthropoda; Insecta; Coleoptera; Tenebrionidae
Description: tRNA-Leu
Source: RNAcentral
UAUUACUUGUAACUAAAAGUCACAUAAAAAGAUUCUAAAUCUAUCGCACUAAUCUGCCAAAAUAAU